CAGUAGCCACGGGAAUACGGAGGGGGCUAGCGUUGUUCGGAAUUACUGGGCGUAAAGCGUACGUAGGCGGCUUUGUAAGUUAGAGGUGAAAGCCUGGAGCUCAACUCCAGAAUUGCCUUUAAGACUGCAUCGCUUGAACGUCGGAGAGGUGAGUGGAAUUCCGAGUGUAGAGGUGGAAUUCGUAGAUAUUCGGAAGAACACCAGUGGCGAAGGCGGCUCACUGGACGACUGUUGACGCUGAGGUACGAAAGCGUGGGGAGCAAACAGGAUUAGAUACCCCUGUAGUCCCUGUCUCUUAUAC
This 301-nucleotide ribosomal RNA is filed under the name uncultured bacterium. RNAcentral's name for it is "partial 16S ribosomal RNA". It matches the Rfam family "Bacterial small subunit ribosomal RNA", at positions 509 to 807 of the family's 1533-position model. The record is from RNAcentral.